This 3710-nucleotide long non-coding RNA is filed under the name Chelonoidis abingdonii (Abingdon island giant tortoise). Its description in RNAcentral is "lncRNA (ENSCABG00000014485.1)". The record is from RNAcentral. Lineage: Eukaryota; Metazoa; Chordata; Testudines; Testudinidae.
UCAAUGGUCUCAACGGCGUNNNNNNNNNNNNNNNNNNNNNNNNNCCUACCCCGGGCGCCCGGCCUUCCCCCUGCAGAGCUUUGGCCUGGAGCCCCUGGACGCGGCCCCCCGGCCCUUCCCCCUCGGCUCCCCCGCCAGCCUCCCCUUCCCCCCACCGGACGAGAUGGUGCCAUCUGCUGCCCCCAGCCCACUGGGGAAGCCUCCGGUCCCCGCCACGCUGCCCCCUGAGGGGGCCCCCGCCUGGAGCAGCCGCACCUGCCCACUGCCCGCAGGCGCCUCCCUCGGCAGGCUGGCAGCCUCCACCACGCUCUCCUCCGUCUCAUCGCCAGGGGGCAGCGCCGAGUUGUCCCCCCAGUGCUCCCGCCCCUCCUCCACCUCCUCCGAGCCUGGGGGGCCCCCGCUGGCUCCCCAGCCCCCUGCAGGGCCCCCCCAGCCCUGCAAGGACGAGGCGCCCCCCAGCAAUGCCUUAGCCAACCAAAGCAGCAAUAACCCACCAGUGCCCUUAGGCGCCAUGCCCGAGGGCAAGGGGCCACCUGGCUUCCUGGGCCUGCCCCUGAGCCAGCUGCUUCAGCAGCCGGGUGCCCCCUCCUUCCCUGCCAGCAGCCUGCUGAGCGCAGCUGCCAAGGCCCAGCUGGCCAGCCAGCAGCGCGCUGACGAGCCCCCCUCUAGCACUUUACCCGGGCGCCUGCUGGGCUCCAACGUGCUGCUCUCCGUGGUGGGCGGGCGGGCGCUGCCCAAGCCCCGGCGCCAGCGCCGCGCACCCACCGUGCUGCGCCUGCUGAAGGACUCGCAGCAGGGCCCUGCCGGGCCAGAGGAGGCCCCCGCCCACCGGGCCUGGCCCAGAGAGCAGCCCCCUCGGCCGCCCCCGGGGGGCGCCCCACCACCCGGAGAGGCCAAGGGCAGCCCCCUGGCCCCUCUCGCCCCCAGCCAGCCGCUGUCGUCCCUGCUGAGCCUGCUGGGCACCCAGCCCCCUGGCCUGCCCCCGUUGCCCCUGGGUGACAGCCCCCCCAGCCUCCUGCCCUCCUUCCAGGACUUCAACAGCCAGCUCCUCAGCCUCUUCAGCCAGCUGGCCUCCGCCUCCUCUGACCUGGCCUCAGGGAGCACCCCCCAGCCGAAAGCGCCCGCCCCCAGCAGCACCGCAGGUGCCACCGUCUUGCCAGCCGCCACCAAAGCAGCCUCGGGCUCUGGCCCCUGCAGUGGCGCCGGGGAGGGCAGCCUGGGGGGCCAGCGGGGCCUGCCGCCCCCGGCCCCCGAGCCCUUCCCCUUCCUGGGCCAGGAGCAAGUGCUGCCCUUCGGAGGCUCCCUGCCCCCUGGCCUCCUCCAGGGCGGCUUCCUCGGCUCCUUACCCUUCUCCCUGGCCCUGAGCCAGCCACAGCUGCUGGGCUGCCCGGGGCAGGGGGAGGCACCACUGCCCGCCCUGGGCCUGCCGGGCGAGCCCGAGGGGCAGGUGCUGCAGACUCUGCUCAUGGCCUCGCUGCUGCAGAGCCAGCCUCAGUCGCCCCUGCUGCCCCUGGGGGGCCUCGGCCUGCCUGGCUUGGACCUGCUCCAGCAGCCCAGCAGCCUCCUCCCGGCCCUGCUGCCCCUGCCGGACCCGCCCUGCCAGGGGGACCUCCCGGAUGGGCCCCUGCAGCCCCUGCUCUUCCCGGCGCUGCCCGCCUCGCCCGCCGUCUUAGCUUUAAACUCGGCUCUGCUGGCAGCCGGCCUGGCAGCCCCCGACACCCAGCCUGGCAUCGCCGGCUCCCCCAUGGCACCUACCUCGACUGGCACGAUGCCCACGACUACUGAGGCCCCCGAGCCCCCUGGCGCCUUUGGCAGUGCCCCAGUGCCCCCCAGCUCCUCCGGGAGGCUCCACCCGCUGCUGCCCCCGCUGGUCAGCCCGCUGCUGAGUGCCGCGCUGCUGGGUGACCUGUCGGCGCUGGGCCCUCUGGGGGCCGCCGGGGGCCCCAUGCUCCAGAGCCAGCCGCAGUUGCUGCCUCCUGCCCUCCCAGCGCCCCUGGGCUUCCAGCUCUUCCAGGCCCAGCCCCCCGUCCUGAGCCCACUGGGCAGCUCCAGCCCCCUGGCCUGCCUCCUGCAGCUCAGCCCCGGGUUCAGCGCCCCUGAGAAGCCAGCGCCGGCACCAAGCGAAGGCCCCUCCCCGAACCCGCCCAGCGUCCCGGAGCCCGAGCCGCCAGCCCCCUUCACCCCCUUCUGCACGGACGCUGCCCCUCCUGCGCUGCCAAGUGCCUUAGACUCCCCUGCAGUGCCCAGGGCCACAGACUGCCCGGCCACAAGCCCCCUGGAGCCAGCCGGGCCGGGCCAGCAGGGAGCGCUGGGCUUUGCCACCCCCGUGGGGCAGCUGGAGAGAGGCGCCGCAGGACCCCCCUGCUGCAGGACCCCCCUGAAACGGGCCCGGCACAGCGGGGAGGGGCUGAAUGGCAACAUCCCCCCCCGGGCAACGCCCCGCAGAACGAAGAGCGCCUGCCGUGGGGCCAGGCGAGGCCGUGGGGCCUGGGGGAGCCGGCGGCACUUCAAUGGGCAGGCGGGUGAGCCGGGCGAGAAGGCAGCACCCUCGGGGCACCUGCCCCACCCGGCCUGGAGAUGCAACGGUGAGAUCCCGGUGCCAGGCACGGCCAGCCCGCUGGCCCCCAGCAAAGCAGAGGAGAUAAAGGGGAACCCUGGGAGGCUGCGCCCAUCACGCCGGGGCCGGAGGAGGAAGGUCAGUGCCCCCCGGCCUAGCACCCGCCUGGAGACACCACGAGCGAGGGGCCCAACCGCUGAGCCAGGCUCCGUCCCCACUGAGGACGGUCCCCCCGGGCGGCGCCCCCGACCUGGCCGCCCUGCCAAGAACCGCCGCAGGAAGCUGGUGACGUAGCCUUGGCCCAGAGGUACCCGGGGAGGUGAAGCCGAGCAAGGCCCGGCCACCCACAGCCAGGAACGAGCCCCCACUGGGGGUGCCCUGUGGACAGUGGGGGGGCCCAGAGCAGGUGCCGUUGCUGGCAAUGGGCACUUCCCUCUCCGCCCAGCAGGAGGCAGUGCUGGGCCAUGGCCUGCCAAAGCACUUCUGAAGCCAUUCUGCAAUACAGUGAAAUGCCAGGGAGGUGUGGCAGCGCUACGGGGGGGCACGAGCCUGUGCUGCCCCCAGACUGGGGCUAGGGCUCCCAACUGCUGCCAUUCUGCCCCCCCCCUCGGUAGCAAGGCUGGGGGGGAGGGCUCCUCCCCUACCUCAGGCCUGCGGGUCUCAGCAGGGCCAGGAAUGCCUCAGGGGUUAGCUUACCGCACGUCCCGCUCACCAAAAACCUCCCUGUGCCCCUCGCCGGGGGGCAAUGGUACAAAGCAAUAAGCGUGGCCCCAGCCCAGGCACAGGCAGAGCCCGGGGGUGCCUGGCCUGGGACGCCGGCUGGGGCAUGGGGCGAUCCAGGCCCCAGCCCCCUUUCUCCUUGUUUUGAACUCCUCCGAGAACACUCAGGUCUGGUGGCUGGCGGGGCCCGGCCGCAGCGCCAGCGCCACCCACCCACCCACACUACGGGCUCCCAGGCUGCUGGUGGGAAUUAUGCAAAGCGGGGGCUGGGCCCUGCCCCCCCUCACCGACAGGGGCCUUGCUUUUGUAGAUGCUGGAACUGGCGCUUUUCCAUGGGAGUCACUUAAUUUAACAGCUGGGGGCCAAGCGCCGCUGGCUCUUCCGCGGGGAUUUGGGGUGUUUUGUAUCAAUUUAUUAAAAUGUGUAUUUAAAA